CUACUGUGUUGAGUACUCUGUCUGGUAAUUAUUGUUUGGUACACCAGGCCCUGUAGUCGUUCCUAGUAAUUCUGAUCCUGCUGGUCCGAGCAAACAUGUGAGGCCAUUCCAGCAUUAUCUGCGGAUGGAGUGUUCCAUGGCCAUUCAGCUUCGCUAUGACCGGAAAAAGGGGAAACUCUGUGUCACAAGAGUGGAGUAUGAACACAACCAUCAUAUAUCUCGUCUGCUUUUUCACAAAUACCCCAAAAAUAGGCGCCCAAAUGCAGAAGAAAGAGCUGAAAUUGAAAGGCUGUCACGGUUAAAGGUCAGUUCAUCCACCCUGAAGAGCUUUUUCAAAAAAAGUCAUGGAAAGCACCUCAAGCUUAAAGACAUACACAACAUCAAACAGCAAGUUAAAAAAAUUGCACGAAAAGACUAAAGUGAAGCUGAAAUGAUGGUGAAUAUUGUCAAAAACUUGAAAGAAAAAGGAUAAACAGCAGAAAUAGUGGCUGACAAGAAUGCUGAAGCCCUGCUCAAAGAUGCAGAUCCUGCCAUGGUCCAGCAGGAGCAGAUGAAGAGCCUCAGGGGAUACAUCCGAAAUCGGCUGAUUGGGGCACAAUUACAGAACUAAUAAAAUAAAAAUACCUCC
Eleginops maclovinus (Patagonian blennie) is the source of this 628-nucleotide long non-coding RNA. RefSeq lists it as uncharacterized. The record is from RefSeq and is a predicted model, not a curated record. The transcript is spliced from 4 exons. NCBI's taxonomy places the organism in Eukaryota, Metazoa, Chordata, Actinopteri, Perciformes, Eleginopidae.